Molecule: ribosomal RNA, 2876 nt
Filed under: Escherichia coli
Lineage: Bacteria; Pseudomonadati; Pseudomonadota; Gammaproteobacteria; Enterobacterales; Enterobacteriaceae
Description: partial 23S ribosomal RNA
Rfam family: Bacterial large subunit ribosomal RNA
Source: RNAcentral
UGCCCUGGCAGUCAGAGGCGAUGAAGGACGUGCUAAUCUGCGAUAAGCGUCGGUGAGGUGAUAUGAACCGUUAUAACCGGCGAUUUCCGAAUGGGGAAACCCAGUGUGUUUCGACACACUAUCAUUAACUGAAUCCAUAGGUUAAUGAGGCGAACCGGGGGAACUGAAACAUCUAAGUACCCCGAGGAAAAGAAAUCAACCGAGAUUCCCCCAGUAGCGGCGAGCGAACGGGGAGGAGCCCAGAGCCUGAAUCAGUGUGUGUGUUAGUGGAAGCGUCUGGAAAGGCGCGCGAUACAGGGUGACAGCCCCGUACACAAAAAUGCACAUAUUGUGAGCUCGAUGAGUAGGGCGGGACACGUGGUAUCCUGUCUGAAUAUGGGGGGACCAUCCUCCAAGGCUAAAUACUCCUGACUGACCGAUAGUGAACCAGUACCGUGAGGGAAAGGCGAAAAGAACCCCGGCGAGGGGAGUGAAAAAGAACCUGAAACCGUGUACGUACAAGCAGUGGGAGCCUCUUAAUGGGGUGACUGCGUACCUUUUGUAUAAUGGGUCAGCGACUUAUAUUCUGUAGCAAGGUUAACCGAAUAGGGGAGCCGAAGGGAAACCGAGUCUUAACUGGGCGUUAAGUUGCAGGGUAUAGACCCGAAACCCGGUGAUCUAGCCAUGGGCAGGUUGAAGGUUGGGUAACACUAACUGGAGGACCGAACCGACUAAUGUUGAAAAAUUAGCGGAUGACUUGUGGCUGGGGGUGAAAGGCCAAUCAAACCGGGAGAUAGCUGGUUCUCCCCGAAAGCUAUUUAGGUAGCGCCUCGUGAAUUCAUCUCCGGGGGUAGAGCACUGUUUCGGCAAGGGGGUCAUCCCGACUUACCAACCCGAUGCAAACUGCGAAUACCGGAGAAUGUUAUCACGGGAGACACACGGCGGGUGCUAACGUCCGUCGUGAAGAGGGAAACAACCCAGACCGCCAGCUAAGGUCCCAAAGUCAUGGUUAAGUGGGAAACGAUGUGGGAAGGCCCAGACAGCCAGGAUGUUGGCUUAGAAGCAGCCAUCAUUUAAAGAAAGCGUAAUAGCUCACUGGUCGAGUCGGCCUGCGCGGAAGAUGUAACGGGGCUAAACCAUGCACCGAAGCUGCGGCAGCGACACUAUGUGUUGUUGGGUAGGGGAGCGUUCUGUAAGCCUGUGAAGGUGGCCUGUGAGGGUUGCUGGAGGUAUCAGAAGUGCGAAUGCUGACAUAAGUAACGAUAAAGCGGGUGAAAAGCCCGCUCGCCGGAAGACCAAGGGUUCCUGUCCAACGUUAAUCGGGGCAGGGUGAGUCGACCCCUAAGGCGAGGCCGAAAGGCGUAGUCGAUGGGAAACAGGUUAAUAUUCCUGUACUUGGUGUUACUGCGAAGGGGGGACGGAGAAGGCUAUGUUGGCCGGGCGACGGUUGUCCCGGUUUAAGCGUGUAGGCUGGUUUUCCAGGCAAAUCCGGAAAAUCAAGGCUGAGGCGUGAUGACGAGGCACUACGGUGCUGAAGCGACAAAUGCCCUGCUUCCAGGAAAAGCCUCUAAGCAUCAGGUAACAUCAAAUCGUACCCCAAACCGACACAGGUGGUCAGGUAGAGAAUACCAAGGCGCUUGAGAGAACUCGGGUGAAGGAACUAGGCAAAAUGGUGCCGUAACUUCGGGAGAAGGCACGCUGAUAUGUAGGUGAAGCGACUUGCUCGUGGAGCUGAAAUCAGUCGAAGAUACCAGCUGGCUGCAACUGUUUAUUAAAAACACAGCACUGUGCAAACACGAAAGUGGACGUAUACGGUGUGACGCCUGCCCGGUGCCGGAAGGUUAAUUGAUGGGGUUAGCGGUAACGCGAAGCUCUUGAUCGAAGCCCCGGUAAACGGCGGCCGUAACUAUAACGGUCCUAAGGUAGCGAAAUUCCUUGUCGGGUAAGUUCCGACCUGCACGAAUGGCGUAAUGAUGGCCAGGCUGUCUCCACCCGAGACUCAGUGAAAUUGAACUCGCUGUGAAGAUGCAGUGUACCCGCGGCAAGACGGAAAGACCCCGUGAACCUUUACUAUAGCUUGACACUGAACAUUGAGCCUUGAUGUGUAGGAUAGGUGGGAGGCUUUGAAGUGUGGACGCCAGUCUGCAUGGAGCCGACCUUGAAAUACCACCCUUUAAUGUUUGAUGUUCUAACGUGGGCCCCUUACCGGGGUUGCGGACAGUGUCUGGUGGGUAGUUUGACUGGGGCGGUCUCCUCCUAAAGAGUAACGGAGGAGCACGAAGGUUGGCUAAUCCUGGUCGGACAUCAGGAGGUUAGUGCAAUGGCAUAAGCCAGCUUGACUGCGAGCGUGACGGCGCGAGCAGGUGCGAAAGCAGGUCAUAGUGAUCCGGUGGUUCUGAAUGGAAGGGCCAUCGCUCAACGGAUAAAAGGUACUCCGGGGAUAACAGGCUGAUACCGCCCAAGAGUUCAUAUCGACGGCGGUGUUUGGCACCUCGAUGUCGGCUCAUCACAUCCUGGGGCUGAAGUAGGUCCCAAGGGUAUGGCUGUUCGCCAUUUAAAGUGGUACGCGAGCUGGGUUUAGAACGUCGUGAGACAGUUCGGUCCCUAUCUGCCGUGGGCGCUGGAGAACUGAGGGGGGCUGCUCCUAGUACGAGAGGACCGGAGUGGACGCAUCACUGGUGUUCGGGUUGUCAUGCCAAUGGCACUGCCCGGUAGCUAAAUGCGGAAGAGAUAAGUGCUGAAAGCAUCUAAGCACGAAACUUGCCCCGAGAUGAGUUCUCCCUGACUCCUUGAGAGUCCUGAAGGAACGUUGAAGACGACGACGUUGAUAGGCCGGGUGUGUAAGCGCAGCGAUGCGUUGAGCUAACCGGUACUAAUGAACCGUGAGGCUUAACCUU